RNAcentral lists this ribosomal RNA (97 nucleotides) under Thunbergia colpifera. Its description in RNAcentral is "partial 5.8S ribosomal RNA". It matches the Rfam family "5.8S ribosomal RNA", at positions 63 to 154 of the family's 154-position model. From Rfam's summary of the family: 5.8S ribosomal RNA (5.8S rRNA) is a component of the large subunit of the eukaryotic ribosome. It is transcribed by RNA polymerase I as part of the 45S precursor that also contains 18S and 28S rRNA. The record is from RNAcentral. Lineage: Eukaryota; Viridiplantae; Streptophyta; Magnoliopsida; Lamiales; Acanthaceae. RNAcentral also lists the same sequence under 1 other name.
UGGUGUGAAUUGCAGAAUCCCGUGAACCAUCGAGUCUUUGAACGCAAGUUGCGCCCGAAGCCAUUAGGCCGAGGGCACGUCUGCCUGGGCGUCACGC